This 468-nucleotide ribosomal RNA is filed under the name uncultured bacterium. RNAcentral's name for it is "partial 16S ribosomal RNA". It matches the Rfam family "Bacterial small subunit ribosomal RNA", at positions 28 to 507 of the family's 1533-position model. The record is from RNAcentral.
GACGAACGCUGGCGGCGUGCUUAACACAUGCCAGUCGAACGGAAAGGCCAUGCUUUUGUGGGGUGCUCGAGUGGCGAACGGGUGAGUAACACGUGAGUAACCUGCCCUUGACUUUGGGGUAACUUCUGGAAACUGGGGCUAAUACCGGAUAGGAGCUCCUGAUGCAUGGUGGGGGUUGGAAAGUUUCGGCGGUUGGGGAUGGACUCGCGGCUUAUCCGCUUGUUGGUGGAGUAGUGGCAUACAAAGGCUUUGACGGGUAGCCGGCCUGAGAGGGUGAACGGCCACAUUGCGACUGCGGUACGGCCCAGACGCCUACCGGAGGCAACAGUGGAGAGUAUUGCACAAUGGGCGGAAGCCUGUUGCAGCGACGCCGCGUGCGUGAUGACGGCCUUCGGGUUGUAAACCUCUUUCGCCUGUGACGAAGCGUGAGUGACGGUAAUGGGUAAAGAAGCACCGGCUAACUACGUG